CUUGGCGGCCGUAGCGCGGUGGUCCCACCUGACCCCAUACCGAACUCAGAAGUGAAACGCCGUAGCGCCGAUGGUAGUGUGGGGUCUCCCCAUGCGAGAGUAGGGAACUGCCAGGC
RNAcentral lists this ribosomal RNA (116 nucleotides) under Escherichia coli. Lineage: Bacteria; Pseudomonadati; Pseudomonadota; Gammaproteobacteria; Enterobacterales; Enterobacteriaceae. The record is from RNAcentral. RNAcentral also lists the same sequence under 1 other name.